CCUACGUGUGGCUGCAGUGAGGAAUAUUGGUCAAUGGGCGGAAGCCUGAACCAGCCAAGUCGCGUGAGGGAUUAAGGCCCUGCGGGUCGUAAACCUCUUUUGCCGGGGAGCAGAGGUCCGGACGUGUCCGGGCCGGGAGAGUACCCGGAGAAAAAGCAUCGGCUAACUACGUGCCAGCAGCCGCGGUAAUACGUAGGGAGCGAGCGUUAUCCGGAAUUAUUGGGCGUAAAGGGUGCGUAGAUGGCAUAGUAAGUCUUUUGUAAAAAUGCUGGGCUCAACCCAGUAGGGCAAAAGAUACUGCAAAGCUAGAGUAUGACAGAGGCAAGUGGAACUACAUGUGUAGCGGUAAAAUGCGUAAAUAUAUGUAAGAACACCAGUGGCGAAGGCGGCUUGCUGGGUCGAUACUGACAUUGAGGCACGAAAGCGUGGGGAGCAAACAGGAUUAGAUACCCGGGUAGUC
Molecule: ribosomal RNA, 460 nt
Filed under: uncultured bacterium
Lineage: Bacteria
Description: partial 16S ribosomal RNA
Rfam family: Bacterial small subunit ribosomal RNA
Source: RNAcentral